This 132-nucleotide ribosomal RNA is filed under the name Jaculus jaculus (lesser Egyptian jerboa). The record is from RNAcentral. Lineage: Eukaryota; Metazoa; Chordata; Mammalia; Rodentia; Dipodidae.
GUCUAGGGCCAUACUACCCAGAACGUGCCCAAUCUCAUCUGAUCUCAGAAGCUAAGCAGGUUUGGGCCUGGUUAGUACUUGGAUGGGAGAAGUUGAAACCCCCAAAGGGAAGUGUGUUGAUAGUUGUGAUUU